ACGAACGCUGGCGGCGUGCCUAAUACAUGCAAGUCGAACGGUCUUUCUAUGGAAGCUUGCUUCCACUGAGAAGAUAGUGGCGAACGGGUGAGUAACACGUGGGUAACCUGCCCAUAAGAGGGGGAUAACAUCCGGAAACGGGUGCUAAUACCGCAUAGUUUUCUUGAUCGCAUGAUUGAGAAAGGAAAGAUGGCCUUUGUGCUGUCGCUUAUGGAUGGACCCGCGGCGUAUUAGUUAGUUGGUGAGGUAACGGCUCACCAAGACGAUGAUACGUAGCCGACCUGAGAGGGUGAUCGGCCACAUUGGGACUGAGACACGGCCCAAACUCCGUACGGGAGGCAGCAGGUAGGGAUCUUCCGCAAUGGACGAAGUCUGACGGAGCAACGCCGCGUGAGUGAAGGUAAAGGGUUUCGGAUACGUAAACUCUGUUGUCAGAGAAGAACAAGUUGGAGAGUAACUGCUCCAGCCUUGACGGUAUCUGACCAAGAAAGCCACGGCUAACUACGUGCCAGCCGCCGC
Molecule: ribosomal RNA, 519 nt
Filed under: uncultured bacterium
Lineage: Bacteria
Description: bacterial SSU rRNA
Rfam family: Bacterial small subunit ribosomal RNA
Source: RNAcentral